UGAAGAAAGAAAAUAUUACCUCCGUAUCAAAAUGUUAACUACUUUUUUGCUACCAAUGUGAGAAUCAUCAACCAACUCAACCUCAAGGCAGAUUUCAAUAAUUUUUUUGCAGAAGUCCACAAAUUUCUAAGUUCGUAAUUUGUUGCAACGCGACUCGGCAGCCAACUCAAACAUAACUACGUUUGCUAAAAACCUCGACCCAGCAGCCGAGUGCACUCGGCCCACCGUUGGUCACGACGUACGUGAUCACUCGGCGCCACGACGCCGCUUGCCGGCCCCCGCUCCCUUCCCG
Molecule: long non-coding RNA, 292 nt
Filed under: Triticum aestivum (bread wheat)
Lineage: Eukaryota; Viridiplantae; Streptophyta; Magnoliopsida; Poales; Poaceae
Description: long non-coding RNA (TAES_LNC016500)
Source: RNAcentral